RNAcentral lists this ribosomal RNA (1638 nucleotides) under Triticum aestivum (bread wheat). RNAcentral's name for it is "partial small subunit ribosomal RNA". The record is from RNAcentral. Lineage: Eukaryota; Viridiplantae; Streptophyta; Magnoliopsida; Poales; Poaceae.
AUGGAAAACGAUGGGAUCCUUUUCCACUGCCUCCCGGCCGACGCCGGCCGCAUCUACGUCGACGGUUGCUUCCUCCGCUGCGGCGCGGGCAGCUUCACCACCGUCGCUUCUGACACCAGUGACAUGUUCCUAUGCUUAAACGACACUGCACUGGCCACACCGCGCGCCGCCGCUCUGGUGUGCAACGUCACGCCGACCGCGCCAGGGGCGAGGGGGUACUACUACGCCGGGUGGGCGUCCGCGUCGGCGAUGUCGACCGGGCGCGCGGGUCGCGCGCGGGUGUACGUGGCGGCACAGUGCUGGAGGUCGUUGGACGCCAUCGCGUGCGCGGCCUGCACGGCGGCGCGCGACCGGGUGGUCCGGCAGCGCCUUCUCGGCGCCAAUGCCGGAUGCGUCUUCAGGUACGCGACGCAGCCCUUCUACCUGCCAGCCAAAGCUGCCGGCGGCGGCGGAUCAUCGACACGACACAUAAUCAUCAUCGUCUUCGCCUCCAACCUCUCCGCCAUGGCAGUCAUCAGCAUAGUAUUCAUCUGGACAUGAAUGAGGCCCAGGAGAGACGACCUCCACGACGACAUGGAUGGCUCAGGCCAGAUCAUCCGCACCAGCAUGUCGUCACAGCUCGGCUUCCGGUACGAGGAUCUGCGCAAGGCGACUAAUGACAUCAAUCAGAUCAACAAGCUUGCCCAGGGUGGCUAUGGUUCAGUUUACAAGGGUGUGCUUCCGGAUGGCCGGGAGAUCGCCGUGAAGCGGCUCUACCUCAACUUGCGGCAGUGGAUCAACUAGUUCUUCAACGAGGUGAAGCUCGUCAGCCAGGUGCAGCACAAGAACCUCAUCAAGCUCCUCGGGUGCAGCGUCGAGGGUCCCGAGAGCCUCCUCGUCUACGAGUACCUCUGCAACACCAGCCUCGAUCACUACCUCUUUGAGGCUUUCAAGAAGAAAGCGUUGGAUUGGGAGCGGCGGUUGGAGGUCGUCCUCGAUGCGGCGGAGGGUUUGUCAUACCUUCACAGUGGCUUUGAGGUUAGGAUCAUACAUAGGGACAUCAAGGCCAGCAAUGUGAUGCUGGAUGAGAGGUUUAGGCCUAAGAUUGGCGAUUUCGGCCUGGCAAGGAAAUUCAUGGAAGAUCAGACCCACCUCAGCACUGGCCUCGCGUGAACAUUUGGAUAUAUGGCUCCGGAGUACAUCGUUCACGGGCAGCUAACGGAGAAGACCGACAUCUACAGCUAUGGUGUGACCGACAUCUACAUCACCGGCUGCAAGAACCACAACUCUGUGGCCUCAACGGCUGAGAGACUGUCCCUCAUGUCACAGAUAUGGAAGCACUACACCGGCACCCUGAUGGAGAUCCUGGACCCAAACCUCCGCAACCAAUGCUCGGAGGCGGAAGCUCUCAAAGUGUUCCAAGUCGGGCUGCUGUGUGCGCAGGUGUCGCUGAACCUCGGACCAUCAAUGUGGAAGGUGGUGGAUAUGCUGGGUAGUGGUGAUAGGGUGCUGCCCCAGCUUACCGAGCCUCCGUUCAUUGACGUGAAGGGGUCGAAUGCAAAGAGCGAAAGCUCGGGUUCAUCAUGUCUGAUGUUGAACUCUGACAAGUCGCCGUUCUCGAUGAACAAGCUGUCAGUGAGUGGGGUGCAGGCCAGGUGA